CCUACGGGGGGCAGCAGUGGGGAAUAUUGGACAAUGGGCGAAAGCCUGAUCCAGCCAUGCCGCGUGUGUGAAGAAGGCCUUCGGGUUGUAAAGCACUUUCAGUGGGGAAGAAAGCCUUGGGGCUAAUACCCUCGAGGAAGGACAUCACCCACAGAAGAAGCACCGGCUAACUCCGUGCCAGCAGCCGCGGUAAUACGGAGGGUGCGAGCGUUAAUCGGAAUUACUGGGCGUAAAGCGCGCGUAGGCGGUCUGAUAAGCCGGUUGUGAAAGCCCCGGGCUCAACCUGGGAACGGCAUCCGGAACUGUCAGGCUAGAGUGCAGGAGAGGAAGGUAGAAUUCCCGGUGUAGCGGUGAAAUGCGUAGAGAUCGGGAGGAAUACCAGUGGCGAAGGCGGCCUUCUGGACUGACACUGACGCUGAGGUGCGAAAGCGUGGGUAGCAAACAGGAUUAGAUACCUUGUAGUC
This 464-nucleotide ribosomal RNA is filed under the name Vreelandella stevensii. RNAcentral describes it as "partial 16S ribosomal RNA". It matches the Rfam family "Bacterial small subunit ribosomal RNA", at positions 338 to 795 of the family's 1533-position model. Lineage: Bacteria; Pseudomonadati; Pseudomonadota; Gammaproteobacteria; Oceanospirillales; Halomonadaceae. The record is from RNAcentral.